AACGCGAAGAACCUUACCUACCCUUGACAUGCCUGGAAUCCUGCAGAGAUGCGGGAGUGCUCGAAAGAGAGCCAGGACACAGGUGCUGCAUGGCCGUCGUCAGCUCGUGUCGUGAGAUGUUGGGUUAAGUCCCGCAACGAGCGCAACCCUUGCCAUUAGUUGCUACUAAAGGGCACUCUAAUGGGACUGCCGGUGACAAACCGGAGGAAGGUGGGGAUGACGUCAGGUCAUCAUGGCCCUUAUGGGUAGGGCUACACACGUCAUACAAUGGCCGGUACAGAGGGCUGCCAACCCGCGAGGGGGAGCCAAUCCCAGAAAACCGGUCGUAGUCCGGAUCGCAGUCUGCAACUCGACUGCGUGAAGUCUGAAUCGCUAGUAAUCGCGGAUCAGCGUGCCGCGGUGAAUACGUUCCCGGGUCUUGUACACACCG
This 430-nucleotide ribosomal RNA is filed under the name uncultured bacterium. RNAcentral describes it as "bacterial SSU rRNA". It matches the Rfam family "Bacterial small subunit ribosomal RNA", at positions 958 to 1392 of the family's 1533-position model. The record is from RNAcentral.